This 121-nucleotide ribosomal RNA is filed under the name Syntrophobacterales bacterium. Its description in RNAcentral is "partial 16S ribosomal RNA". It matches the Rfam family "Bacterial small subunit ribosomal RNA", at positions 1 to 119 of the family's 1533-position model. Lineage: Bacteria; Pseudomonadati; Thermodesulfobacteriota; Syntrophobacteria; Syntrophobacterales. The record is from RNAcentral.
AAACUGGAGAGUUUGAUCCUGGCUCAGAACAAACGCUGGCGGCGUGCUUAACACAUGCAAGUCGUACGAGAAAGUCCGCUUCGGCGGAUGAGUAAAGUGGCGCACGGGUGCGUAACACGUG